RNAcentral lists this ribosomal RNA (577 nucleotides) under uncultured bacterium. RNAcentral describes it as "partial 16S ribosomal RNA". It matches the Rfam family "Bacterial small subunit ribosomal RNA", at positions 356 to 932 of the family's 1533-position model. The record is from RNAcentral.
UGGGAAUUUUGGACAAUGGGGCAACCCUGACCCAGCAAUGCCGCGUGAGUGAAGAAGGCCUUCGGGUUGUAAAGCUCUUUUGUCUGGGAAGAAAUCCUUUGGGCUAAUACCUCGGAGGGAUGACGGUACCGGAAGAAUAAGCACCGGCUAACUACGUGCCAGCAGCCGCGGUAAUACGUAGGGUGCGAGCGUUAAUCGGAAUUACUGGGCGUAAAGCGUGCGCAGGCGGUUGUGCAAGACAGAGGUGAAAUCCCCGAGCUUAACUUGGGAACUGCCCUUGUGACUGCACGGCUAGAGUGUGUCAGAGGGGGGUAGAAUUCCACGUGUAGCAGUGAAAUGCGUAGAGAUGUGGAGGAAUACCGAUGGCGAAGGCAGCCCCCUGGGAUAACACUGACGCUCAUGCACGAAAGCGUGGGGAGCAAACAGGAUUAGAUACCCUGGUAGUCCACGCCCUAAACGAUGUCAACUAGUUGUCGGGUCUUAAUUGACUUGGUAACGCAGCUAACGCGUGAAGUUGACCGCCUGGGGAGUACGUCGCAAGAUUAAAACUUAAAGNGAAUUGACGGGGUCAUAGCUG